RNAcentral lists this ribosomal RNA (496 nucleotides) under uncultured bacterium. RNAcentral's name for it is "partial 16S ribosomal RNA". It matches the Rfam family "Bacterial small subunit ribosomal RNA", at positions 28 to 506 of the family's 1533-position model. The record is from RNAcentral.
GAUGAACGCUGGCGGCGUGCCUAAUACAUGCAAGUCGAGCGAACGGACGAGAAGCUUGCUUCUCUGAUGUUAGCGGCGGACGGGUGAGUAACACGUGGAUAACCUACCUAUAAGACUGGGAUAACUUCGGGAAACCGGAGCUAAUACCGGAUAAUAUUUUGAACCGCAUGGUUCAAAAGUGAAAGACGGUCUUGCUGUCACUUAUAGAUGGAUCCGCGCUGCAUUAGCUAGUUGGUAAGGUAACGGCUUACCAAGGCAACGAUGCAUAGCCGACCUGAGAGGGUGAUCGGCCACACUGGAACUGAGACACGGUCCAGACUCCUACGGGAGGCAGCAGUAGGGACUCUUCCGAAAUGGGCGAAAGCCUGACGGAGCAACGCCGCGUGAGUGAUGAAGGUCUUCGGAUCGUAAAACUCUGUUAUUAGGGAAGAACAUAUGUGUAAGUAACUGUGCACAUCUUGACGGUACCUAAUCAGAAAGCCACGGCUAACUACGU